CAACGUAAAAUUUGAAGGGUCCCUUCAUAAAUUUUGUUUAUUCAUAAAUAAGUGGAAAUCGAUGCAAUCUGUUUACCUGAUAUGACACUGAUAAGAACAAUCAAUGGUAGAAUCAAUACAUGGUUGACCUUUUGCAGUACCUAUCCUUCUGCAUCGGAGGAGAGAAUGGAUGAGCUUGCGCUAAAGCACCGACCAUUCCUGGCCAUCCACAUCGUCAAGCGCGGUGAGUCAGUGUCGGCCGUCAGCAGGUGAGGCAACGGGCGGUCGGCGCGUCGGGGGCGGGGUAGUUGUCGGGCGGAGAGGCGGCGAUCGGCCGGCGGG
Molecule: long non-coding RNA, 321 nt
Filed under: Oryza brachyantha (malo sina)
Lineage: Eukaryota; Viridiplantae; Streptophyta; Magnoliopsida; Poales; Poaceae
Description: long non-coding RNA (OBRA_LNC000793)
Source: RNAcentral